RNAcentral lists this ribosomal RNA (395 nucleotides) under uncultured bacterium. Its description in RNAcentral is "bacterial SSU rRNA". It matches the Rfam family "Bacterial small subunit ribosomal RNA", at positions 28 to 421 of the family's 1533-position model. The record is from RNAcentral.
GACGAACGCUGGCGGCGUGCUUAAUACAUGCAAGUCGAGCGGUAAGGCUCCUUCGGGAGUACACGAGCGGCGAACGGGUGAGUAACACGUGAGCAAUCUGGCCCUUCACUUUGGGAUAACUCCGGGAAACCGGUGCUAAUACCGAAUGCGACCACUUCAGGCAUCGUGACGGUGGUGGAAAGUUCCGGCGGUGAAGGAUGAGCUCGCGGCCUAUCAGCUUGUUGGUGAGGUAAUGGCUCACCAAGGCUUCGACGGGUAGCCGGCCUGAGAGGGUGACCGGCCACACUGGGACUGAGACACGGCCCAGACUCCUACGGGAGGCAGCAGUGGGGAAUAUUGGACAAUGGGCGAAAGCCUGAUCCAGGCAACGCCGCGUGAGGGACUGACGGCCUCGG